RNAcentral lists this long non-coding RNA (281 nucleotides) under Gossypium raimondii (Peruvian cotton). RNAcentral's name for it is "long non-coding RNA (GRAI_LNC010522)". Lineage: Eukaryota; Viridiplantae; Streptophyta; Magnoliopsida; Malvales; Malvaceae. The record is from RNAcentral.
GCCAACCACCUAUUUACAAACAUUAAUUAAGUGGCAUAAUUACUACUUUAGCCCCUUAAGUUUAUUUCAAUUUAUAAUUCAACUUUUAACCCUUACGCAAUUUAGUCCCUAUACCUUAAUAACUCCUAAUUUCACAAAAUUCACUAUCCAAAAAUUAAUUAGCUACUAAGCUAGCCUCGUAAAUAUUUAAUAAAAAUAUUUACAGGUCUAGUUUACGGUUACGGAGUCCUGGGAAUACACUUUUCGACACCCCUGACUAUCGGGUCGUUACAAUUCUCCCC